GACGAACGCUGGCGGCGUGCUUAACACAUGCAAGUCGAACGGUAAGGCUCCAGCUUGCUGGGGUACACGAGUGGCGAACGGGUGAGUAACACGUGGGUGACCUGCCCUGCACUUCGGGAUAAGCCUGGGAAACUGGGUCUAAUACCGGAUAGGACCGCACCGUGAGGGUGUGGUGGAAAGUUUUUUCGGUGUGGGAUGGGCCCGCGGCCUAUCAGCUUGUUGGUGGGGUAAUGGCCUACCAAGGCGGCGACGGGUAGCCGGCCUGAGAGGGUGGACGGCCACAUUGGGACUGAGACACGGCCCAGACUCCUACGGGAGGCAGCAGUGGGGAAUAUUGCACAAUGGGCGGAAGCCUGAUGCAGCGACGCCGCGUGGGGGAUGACGGCCUUCGGGUUGUAAACUCCUUUCACCAUCGACGAAGGGUUUCUGACGGUAGAUGGAGAAGAAGCACCGGCUAACUACGUGCCAGCAGCCGCGGUAAUACGUAGGGUGCGAGCGUUGUCCGGAAUUACUGGGCGUAAAGAGCUCGUAGGUGGUUUGUCGCGUCGUCUGUGAAAUUCCGGGGCUUAACUCCGGGCGUGCAGGCGAUACGGGCAUAACUUGAGUACUGUAGGGGAGACUGGAAUUCCUGGUGUAGCGGUGGAAUGCGCAGAUAUCAGGAGGAACACCGGUGGCGAAGGCGGGUCUCUGGGCAGUAACUGACGCUGAGGAGCGAAAGCAUGGGGAGCGAACAGGAUUAGAUACCCUGGUAGUCCAUGCCGUAAACGGUGGGCGCUAGGUGUGGGUUUCCUUCCACGGGAUCCGUGCCGUAGCUAACGCAUUAAGCGCCCCGCCUGGGGAGUACGGCCGCAAGGCUAAAACUCAAAGGAAUUGACGGGGGCCCGCACAAGCGGCGGAGCAUGUGGAUUAAUUCGAUGCAACGCGAAGAACCUUACCUGGGCUUGACAUAUACAGGAUCGCGCCAGAGAUGGUGUUUCCCUUGUGGCUUGUAUACAGGUGGUGCAUGGUUGUCGUCAGCUCGUGUCGUGAGAUGUUGGGUUAAGUCCCGCAACGAGCGCAACCCUUGUCUUAUGUUGCCAGCACGUUGUGGUGGGGACUCGUAAGAAACUGCCGGGGUUAACUCGGAGGAAGGUGGGGAUGACGUCAAAUCAUCAUGCCCCUUAUGUCCAGGGCUUCACACAUGCUACAAUGGUCGGUACAGUGGGUUGCCAGUCCGUGAGGGCGAGCUAAUCCCGCAAAGCCGGUCUCAGUUCGGAUCGGGGUCUGCAACUCGGCCCCGUGAAGUCGGAGUCGCUAGUAAUCGCAGAUCAGCAACGCUGCGGUGAAUACGUUCCCGGGCCU
This 1341-nucleotide ribosomal RNA is filed under the name uncultured bacterium. Its description in RNAcentral is "partial 16S ribosomal RNA". It matches the Rfam family "Bacterial small subunit ribosomal RNA", at positions 28 to 1381 of the family's 1533-position model. The record is from RNAcentral.